RNAcentral lists this ribosomal RNA (484 nucleotides) under uncultured bacterium. RNAcentral's name for it is "bacterial SSU rRNA". It matches the Rfam family "Bacterial small subunit ribosomal RNA", at positions 355 to 855 of the family's 1533-position model. The record is from RNAcentral.
UGGGGAAUCUUGGACAAUGGGGGCAACCCUGAUCCAGCCAUGCCGCGUGAGUGAUGAAGGCCUUAGGGUCGUAAAGCUCUUUCGCCUGUGAAGAUAAUGACGGUAGCAGGUAAAGAAACCCCGGCUAACUCCGUGCCAGCAGCCGCGGUAAUACGGAGGGGGUUAGCGUUGUUCGGAAUUACUGGGCGUAAAGCGCACGUAGGCGGAUCGGAAAGUUGGGGGUGAAAUCCCGGGGGCUCAACCCCGGAACUGCCUCCAAAACUAUUGGUCUAGAGUUCGAGAGAGGUGAGUGGAAUUCCAAGUGUAGAGGUGAAAUUCGUAGAUAUUUGGAGGAACACCAGUGGCGAAGGCGGCUCACUGGCUCGAUACUGACGCUGAGGUGCGAAAGUGUGGGGAGCAAACAGGAUUAGAUACCCUGGUAGUCCACACCGUAAAACGAUGAGUGCUAGAUGUUGGGAUUUUCGGAUUUCAGUGUCGCAGCUAA